Molecule: long non-coding RNA, 2749 nt
Organism: Pogoniulus pusillus (Red-fronted tinkerbird)
Lineage: Eukaryota; Metazoa; Chordata; Aves; Piciformes; Lybiidae
Exons: 3
Source: RefSeq, a predicted model, not a curated record
CUGCCUGUUCUCUUUGCUCCCUGCCUACCAGCAUCACUGUCCUGUUCCUCUUUGUUUUGCCACGUGGCCAUCACCAUCAAAAUCAGGGAGGUUGGACUGGAUCAGCGUUGGAGGGCCCUUCCAGCCUUGGACACUCUGAUUCUGUGACAAACCCUUCCACAACGACUCUUGUGCUGGAGUAAACAUUCCUGGUAGCAGCAAACAACACUUCAGUCCAAGGAGAAUUUGGCAGCACUCACUUGCAUGGUUGGCUGUAGACAUGGAUGAUUCCAGACCUGACCCUUCCCCUCGCUGCCAGUGCUGGAGGACGCACACAGAGGCAUCCUACAGGAGUCCUUCCACCUUCCCACACAGAUCCGACAGCAGGAACAGCAGAGCACACCCAGCACGUUUUCAGAUGACUCUAACAGCAGCAGGGGAGAUGUGAGGAGUUGCCUUCUGCCAGAGCAAGGCUACAGCAAGCCUGUGCUAGCAGGACCCGCUCAGGGAAGAGUUUGUGCAUUGAACUGCCCUUUCCCAUGAGAAAGCUGCACAACCAGAAGUUGUGUUCCUUGCUUCAGCCACCCGACUACAAAAGCAACUUUUGAAAUCUACAGGUCAUAAACUUUUAAUUGGCUAGGGCAGAGUGGCUCAGUAGGAAAAUCCCCCUUCUCCCUCCCCUCUGGGCAAUGAGCUAAGCAAGACUCUCGUUUUAAAAAUCAUUUAACUCUUUUUGCUCAAAGUAACGUGGAAAACCUACCCACGUUAUAGGUAGUCAGCAAGAUACUGCUAACAAAAAUAUGCUGCAAGAAGAUUGUGUUAGUGGCACUUCACAGCAGUUCUGAACACUGUCAGAUGCACUGUCAAAAUGACAUUUUUAUGUGUCUCUGAACAUGCUUUUGUUAGUAGAAAGUCACAGCAUGUUGCCAAAUGUUAUUCAAAGAGAAAGAAUCCUGUAAGAAAUACAUUUUGGGUUUUUUUUUUUUGCAGUUAACACAAAACUGUAAACUGGAUUGGUUGAGUGUCCUUCAGCAUCAAAUUGUUCAGUAAUAAAUACGACUAAGUCUUAAUAGACCACGGAGUAAAAGGUUCCCUUAGUGUCCAGUUUUAGCAGCUGUUGAAUGUUCAGGGAUGCACAAGGCACACCUCUGCAGAUUCUCUUACCUUUAUUUUUGACAUACAAAAACCAAACAAACAAAAAACCCAACCAAAAAUAUCCAUUCACCACUCAAAAAUGUUUAUCUGCAUAGUAAGAAUUUUUCUACUGCUAUUUACAGGAAGGGCUUUUAGUGCAAAAACCAGGAAGUGAUGGAUUAGCUGAAGUGCAUCGAGCACACCUCGUACAGUUCCACCAGUCAGCAUCACAUCUUGGGCCGCCAGCCAUUAAUGAACUGCAGGAUUUUCUUAACCUGCAGUUUGCUUAGCUUAAAGUCUUCUGACAGGAUUUCUUCUGUAAGCUGAACCAGUAAAUUGCCAUCAAUCUUCUCUGUAACAAAAAAGGAUAUGACAUCUUCUGACAGACCGAUAAACCUCAGCGAUUUAGACACUUCCUCUAUCGAGAGUCCAGAAAGGUCCGUGGGUGGCUGCCAGGGAGAGCCAUCCCCACAAGACCUCGGUGCUAACUGGAGGUGGAGGGGAGAUGAGAAAGGAUAAGACCCAGAGAACGCAUCCUGCAUGCCCUUUUUGAUGAGACACUGAUCCUCCAGGACGUCUGGAGAACUAGUUUUUGACUCCUCCUCAGCACCAUCUAUUUUCAGCGGCAAGGGACUCGUGUCUGUAACCGUUUUCUCUUCAGCUGACUUUGGUGCCCGAGGAGGUAAGGCAGGACACGAAUGGCUCUGCUUUGUGCUGCUGACUCCAAGAGUUUUUUCAUCAGUGCAGUCUAGAGAGUAACUUGCUGACUUUGGACAGCUGGAGAUGGUGUUUGUGAACUCUGCUGAGGUCAGCAGGGAGUACCCCGCUGGCAGCUCACACCCAUCAAAGUCAAAAGUCAAAGGUGCUGGACAGUUUCUCUUUGGCGUACCUGGAGUCUUCUGUCUGGGGUAACUGUAGCUCCUGCUUGGAUCGAGGAGGAAGUCGCUCCUGUUCAGGCCUUCAGCAGUUCCUGACAAGUGGUUUGGCCAAGAUAACCUGGAAGGCAGAGCUUCACUUGAGGGGCUUCCCAAAGGUAUCGUGCUCUCGGGCUCUUUGGAUUCGGGUUUCAUCAUGUUGCAAGGGUAGCAGGAAACAGGUGUGCUGUCAGCUGGGUCGGUGUUGUCACUCUCUGUGACACUGCUUAAGGAACAAAGCAGAAAGGAUGUCAUUAGUACCAAAAAAAUCCUGGCAUUUGAAUAAAUUAAUAAAUCAUCUGACAGAGUCAGAGGGUGGCUGUCACAAGGAAGACUCUUUUUCCCUCCGGCAGUGUUUUUCAGAUUUCAAUUAACAGCACAUUUGAAUAUCACAUUGACAUUUUACUCCUUCUACAAGCUUGACAAGAUGCUGACAUACCCCAAAGCCUCACGUCCUGGGGUUUUUUCAAGCUUGUAAAAAAGUAGAUGUCUCAAUUCGGUUCUGUGUCACCUCCUGAACAACUCAGUCGUUCCACUGUCAGAUUCCUGAGGGACACCACCAUGGAACAGGAACAGCUUCACAUACUCUAGAAGAUCUCCUGAUGAUGGAUUUCAUAUCUAUAUAUCACAGAUGUGUCAUGGUGUGCAAAAGCAUGUAACGGGGGCAGGUGACCAUUGCACCAGACAGGAGCUUGGCUGAUGUAAGAAGCUGCACCAGUGAA